AAUUUUUUUAAUGUGACUUUGUUUUUUUUACAGUUUCUUUUAUUAUCCCUUAUAAACUUUGGCUGAAUAAACUUACAUUUCAUUCUUAUGUCCUUCUCACCUUUUGUCCCAUAGGCAAUAGUAAAACAUUUCCAACUUUUUGUUAAUUCAGUAGCCGAUAUGCCAUGCUUUAACACACAGGUGGUUAUCAUUGAGCCAGUGCAGGGUCUGCAUGCCUGGUGGGGCUGGGGGUAGCACACAGCUGUCUUCUGUUCUCCAAGGAAUGUUGGGGAGGUAGAAUACAGGAUAAUGGUCCCCAAAAGAUGUCUACACUCUGAUAUUUAGAACCUUUGAAUAUGUAAUGUCACAAAGCAAAAGGGAAUUAAGGUUACAGUUAGAAUUAAGGAUGGUAAUCAGCUAACUUCAAGAUAGAGAGUAGUCUGGAUUCUCCAGGUGUGCUCAACCGUCCUUUAAAGUGAAGAGAGAGGUGGAAGAGGUCAGAGUUGGUGAGAGAUUGCAACUACUUGCUUUGAAGAUGGUGGAAGGGAAGAUACAAGCCACAGAAUGCAGAGGCCUCUAGAUGCUGCAGAAGGUGCAAAAAUAAAAGCUGCUGGAACAUUCAAAAACCAUGAUAAGAACUCUUAGUGAACUUGGAAUAGAAGAGAACUCACCUAUGAAAGCCUGCUCUGACCAAGAACAUAUAAGAGAAGUUAUGUUAUAAGAGUUUUGAGUAUAACCCUCAAGAGGCCCUGUUUCUCACUUUCCGGAAUCUGACACACCCACGUGAAGUGGGCUGAAGAAGCCUGGGCUUGCUUCCCUGAGGAUGAGAAUGGCUCAGUGGUCAACCACCACCCAUUCUCAGACACACAAAGGAGGUGUCCCUUUGGCUGACAACAGUUGCGUGAAUUACACCAGAGAAGAAUUGUCCAGCUGAGCCCAGCUCAAGUUGCUGACCUCUAGACUCACGAGCAAAUGAAAUGAUUGUUGUUUGAAACCACAGUUUUGGUGUGGUUUGUUACCCAGCAGUAAAUAAUUGAUCCAGUAAAUUGUCCAUUACCCAUUUCAUUACUCCAUCCCUUAGAGUAUCUAUCCCUUCACAAGUAUGACACCGAAUACAGAAUGCAGUAUUUCCAUCUCUAAUUUGACUCAAUUAGAAUGGAUCAA
Molecule: long non-coding RNA, 1143 nt
Organism: Felis catus (domestic cat)
Lineage: Eukaryota; Metazoa; Chordata; Mammalia; Carnivora; Felidae
Exons: 3
Source: RefSeq, a predicted model, not a curated record